This 947-nucleotide non-coding RNA is filed under the name Macaca fascicularis (crab-eating macaque). RNAcentral's name for it is "12S ribosomal RNA". It matches the Rfam family "Bacterial small subunit ribosomal RNA". The record is from RNAcentral. Lineage: Eukaryota; Metazoa; Chordata; Mammalia; Primates; Cercopithecidae.
AAUAGGCUUGGUCCUGGCCUUUCUAUUAGCUCUUAGCAGGAUUACACAUGCAAGCAUCCCCGCUCCAGUGAAGACGCCCUACAAAUCAUCAUGACCAAGAGGAGCAAGCAUCAAGCACGCACACGCAGCUCAAAACGCUUUGCCUAGCCACACCCCCACGGGAGACAGCAGUGACAAAUAUUUAGCAAUAAACGAAAGUUCAACUAAGCCAUGCUAUAUUUAGGGUUGGUCAAUUUCGUGCCAGCCACCGCGGUUACACGAUUAACCCCAGCUAAUAGGGAUCGGCGUAGAGGGUGUUUAAGAUCUAACAUAAUAAAGCUAAACUCCACCUAAACUGUAAAACCCUAGCUAAUGUAAAAUAAACUACGAAAGUGGCUUUAAAGCUUCUGAACACACAAUAGCCAAGACCCAAACUGGGAUUAGACACCCCACUAUGCUUGGCCCUAAACCUCAGUAAUUAGAUAACAAAACUACUCGCCAGAAUACUACAAGCAACAGCUUGAAACUCAAAGGACUUGACGGUGCUUUACAUCCCCCUAGAGGAGCCUGUUCCGUAAUCGAUAAACCCCGAUCCACCCUACCCUCUCUUGCUCAGCCUAUAUACCGCCAUCUUCAGCAAACCCUAAUGAAGGCCACAAAGUGAGCGCAAACGCCGCCGCCGCGAAUACGUUAGGUCAAGGUGUAGCCCAUGAGACGGUAAAAAAUGGGCUACAUUUUCUAUUUCAGAAAACCCACGAAAACCCUUAUGAAACUUAAGGGUCCAAGGAGGAUUUAGCAGUAAAUUAAGAAUAGAGUGCUUAAUUGAACCAGGCCAUAAAGCGCGCACACACCGCCCGUCACUCCUCUCAAAUAUAUUUAAGGAAUAUCCUAACUAAACGCCCUAAUAUUUAUAUAGAGAGGAUAAGUCGUAACAUGGUAAGCGUACUGGAAGGUGCGCUUGGAUAAAU